Non-coding RNA from Ciona intestinalis (vase tunicate), 170 nucleotides. Lineage: Eukaryota; Metazoa; Chordata; Ascidiacea; Phlebobranchia; Cionidae. The record is from RefSeq and is a predicted model, not a curated record.
AAACAACAUUUUCUUCCGCCCGGUUUAUAACGUCAGUUUUUUGUUUUGUUUUUUUCCUGAAAUAUUAAAAAACUGUUUGAGUCAAAAAUACCAAAAGAAAAUGUCUCAGCAAGAUAAAGCAUUGCUUAGUAUGGAAACUGAUGGCAUGUGCAAAAUUGACGAAGAAGUUU